GACGAACGCUGGCGGCGUGCUUAACACAUGCAAGUCGAACGCUGAAGCACCAGCUUGCUGGUGUGGAUGAGUGGCGAACGGGUGAGUAAUACGUGAGUAACCUGCCCUUGACUCUGGGAUAAGCCCGGGAAACUGGGUCUAAUACUGGAUGCUACAUGUCACCGCAUGGUGGUGUGUGGAAAGGGUUUACUGGUCUUGGAUGGGCUCACGGCCUAUCAGCUUGUUGGUGAGGUAAUGGCUCACCAAGGCGACGACGGGUAGCCGGCCUGAGAGGGUGACCGGCCAAACUGGGACUGAGAAACGGCCCAGACUCCUACGGGAGGCAGCAGUGGGGAAUAUUGCACAAUGGGCGAAAGCCUGAUGCAGCGACGCCGCGUGAGGGAUGACGGGCUUCGGGUUGUAAACCUCUUUCAGCAGGGAAGAAGCCACAAGUGACGGUACCUGCAGAAGAAGCGCCGGCUAACUACGUG
RNAcentral lists this ribosomal RNA (470 nucleotides) under uncultured bacterium. Its description in RNAcentral is "partial 16S ribosomal RNA". It matches the Rfam family "Bacterial small subunit ribosomal RNA", at positions 28 to 507 of the family's 1533-position model. The record is from RNAcentral.